CAAAUAUAUAUAUAUAUAUAUAUAUUGAUAAUGUUUGAAAUGCGUGUAGAUCAGAAUUUCUGUCCGUCUGAAAACUUGAAAACACACUUACAUAUGCAGGGAUUGACCAGUGUUAAAGGGACAGUCCAGCUUGAGAUGAAGACUGUGUUAUCAUUUACUCACUUCAUUUAAAACCCUUCCUUUUAUGAUCAGCAGAAGAAAAAAUCAUAUCGUUUAGACACAACUUGAGAGUAUUUAUGGGCUGAACUAUCCACUUACGUGGUAUUGUUGGGCUAUUUUACAACAGCUUUAAUUCAGGUCUUAAAUUAGUGACAAAAGUGUCAAAAAUCAUUUACAAACAAAUGGUACAUCCAACAUCAUAUAUCAUCUCCGGGACAGUUUUACUGGUGUGAGAUUGUUAAAGUUAAAUUGCAUUAGACACUUCAUACGAUCUAUUCCUCUGUGUAUAGAAAAUACAUAUAUUUUAGUAUUUAGUGAAAACCAUUCUAGAAUGAAGUUAAGUUAUAAUGUACUUAUUAUAUUUGGAAGAUAGACCUUCGUGAAACAUCAGGAUUGCAGUUACAAACAGCCUUUCCUUCUCAGAAAUCUAUCUAGGAUCAAUAACACAUUUUAUUUCACAACAGUUUUUAAAGAUUUGUGUAAAAUACUUCUCUCAUUUUUUUUAUUUUUCUUUUUAUUUGUAAUUAUUUUGACAGUGAUCUGCAGUAUGUUUUCAUCAAGAAGAGCCGGGCGUUAAUAGAAUCAGAGAGCAAUUAGUGUUGUGUGGAGAGGAUGCAUGGAUCUGGUCCAUUACCUGGGAAAUAAACGAGUGUUUCUGACUAACAGUGAUGUGAUGGACACUAGCAGGAUCUCAGUCUGUGUGUGGCAUGCUUCAGCUUCCUCCAGGGCUCAUUAACAUACAGAUGGAUUUCUGCGCUUGAACAGCACCUGUGCCAUGAUUGUAAAUGAGGAGCGGAUGGGAUCGUUCCCAGCGCCUGCUGCUCAGGUGAUACGGAGCAAUUCUUACCAAGCUCCACCAGUUUCAGCCGUUAAUUGGCUUCGUCAAGACUUGAACAAGGUCCUGAACUCAAGUCUGUUCUUCCUAGAUGCCAUUUACACAGAGAAAGAUCUUGGGCUUCUUGAAUUUUCACAUACAUUUCCCUCAGGGCAGGGCCAGGCUCGUGUUCACUUCCUUCCUUCACUCAUGUCUCGUCCUGCUCCUUUACUUUGGGAAUCUUCCUUUAACACAGAACACAGGUCUGCAAGUGUGUAUACGCUCAUGGAUGCACAAACACGGCCAGGGGGGAAUUCCUUUGUGCUGAUUUCACUGAAGACUUUUUUUAUUGCUUUCAUUGCGUUUAAUUGCAUGCUUUCUUUUUUGUAAUAAUUUCCUCUUGACAUACUUUACCAAGUGUUCUAAAAUAAUGUUUCACGUUAAACAAAUAGUUCAACCAAAAAUGACCAUUGAGUCUGUCUCUCACCCCUCGAGGGAAGCUUUUCAUUCAGUCCCCAAACAUCUCUUGCUGCUCAACAUUGCAUUUCUCUUGUUUUCAUUUUAUAACAUCUUUAAAUUUCAGAAUCAAAAUGCUAGCUAACCUUCCUUUUGAUCAAUGACUACAUUAUCCUGAUACAAUUAAUAAUAAUAAAGAGAUGACAUCAAGAAACUUUUAAAAAUACACAUACACUGGGUUUCAUUGUUUCGCUUAAACUGAGGUUGUGCUUCUUGUCUGAAGUCUUCUCUGAGCAGAGCUUGUAUUCCUCCUACACAGCUGGUUCUGUUUUAGCUAAUGAUUCUGUUACAGAUUAUUUGUUGAUCCUUAGCACCUUUUGUGAUUGUCUCGUCAUGCACUACUAUCAGAAUCUGACUGUGUGCCGGUGUGUUAUUGCAUUCAUAUGUGCUCUUUCACACACACACACACACACACACACACACACACGCACAGAGACACACACACACAGACACACAGACACACACACACACACACACACACACACACACACACACACUCGCUCUCUCUCACACACACACACACACACACACACACACACACACACACACACAGAGAGACACACACACACACACACACACACACACUUGUUUAAUGCCCACUUCUCUCUCUCUUCUCUUUGAAAAGCUGUUUUCCUCUGGCUGACAGGUGAUUCCUAAACUCUUGACCUUCAGCAGUAAACUGACCACUGCUGACUGACAGGACUGGAUCUGCUUCAGAGAAACUUCCCAUCCACAGAGGAAGGACAACUGUGAGCAAAAUAAUAAUACUGAUGAUCACAAAUAAACCCUGACAGGAUCUGUAGCUGUCAUCUUGACCCUCUGUCGUCUGAGUCAGCACAGAUCGGUCUGGUACUGACCUGCUCAGAUUCAUUCAGUCAUCUGCUCAUAUUUGCUUCCUGCUGUUUUAAGAAAGGAACUUCUGAAAGAAAUGAUUGCAGGAAAAUACUGCUUGAAUUUAUAUGAAGGACUGCACUAAUUCAAAAUGAUUCGAUCUAAAUAAAUAAAUAAAAUGCAAUCAACACUCCAAAUUAAAAUGACAC
Molecule: long non-coding RNA, 2529 nt
Filed under: Carassius auratus (goldfish)
Lineage: Eukaryota; Metazoa; Chordata; Actinopteri; Cypriniformes; Cyprinidae
Description: lncRNA (ENSCARG00000006169.1)
Source: RNAcentral